Molecule: ribosomal RNA, 306 nt
Filed under: uncultured bacterium
Lineage: Bacteria
Description: partial 16S ribosomal RNA
Rfam family: Bacterial small subunit ribosomal RNA
Source: RNAcentral
GACAGCAGUCGCCGCGGGAAUACGAAGGGUGCAAGCGUUACUCGGAAUUACUGGGCGUAAAGCGUGCGUAGGUGGAGGUUUAAGUCCGUUGUGAAAGCCCUGGGCUCAACCUGGGAAUUGCAGUGGAUACUGGGUCACUAGAGUGUGGUAGAGGAUAGUGGAAUUUCCGGUGUAGCAGUGAAAUGCGUAGAGAUCGGAAGGAACAUCUGUGGCGAAGGCGACUAUCUGGGCCAACACUGACACUGAGGCACGAAAGCGUGGGGAGCAAACAGGAUUAGAUACCCCCGUAGUCCCUGUCUCUUAUAC